UACGAAGGGGGCGAGCGUUGCUCGGAAUCACUGGGCGUAAAGCGCACGUAGGCGGCUUUUUAAGUCAGGGGUGAAAUCCUGGAGCUCAACUCCAGAACUGCCUUUGAUACUGGGAAGCUUGAGUCCGGGAGAGGUGAGUGGAACUGCGAGUGUAGAGGUGAAAUUCGUAGAUAUUCGCAAGAACACCAGUGGCGAAGGCGGCUCACUGGCCCGGUACUGACGCUGAGGUGCGAAAGCGUGGGGAGCAAACAGG
This 253-nucleotide ribosomal RNA is filed under the name uncultured bacterium. RNAcentral's name for it is "partial 16S ribosomal RNA". It matches the Rfam family "Bacterial small subunit ribosomal RNA", at positions 524 to 776 of the family's 1533-position model. The record is from RNAcentral.